CCCCUCUCAGGAUCACGCCUGGAGAGCUGAGUACUCUACCAGUCUUGACUAUGGGAGGGACAGUCAAGCAGAGGCCUACCCAUUCCAUUCCUAGCUUGGGCAGUGGCUAGCUAGUGGAAGGCAAUCUGCUACAAGU
Small nucleolar RNA from Tachyglossus aculeatus (Australian echidna), 136 nucleotides. NCBI's taxonomy places the organism in Eukaryota, Metazoa, Chordata, Mammalia, Monotremata, Tachyglossidae. The record is from RefSeq and is a predicted model, not a curated record.